UGGGGAAUUUUACACAAUGGGCGAAAGCCUGAUGUAGCAACGCCGCGUGGAGGAUGACGGAUUUAGGUCUGUAAACUCCUUUUAUAGGGGAAGAAAUUUGACGGUACCCUAUGAAUAAGCGCCGGCUAACUCCGUGCCAGCAGCCGCGGUAAUACGGGGGGCGCAAGCGUUACUCGGAAUCACUGGGCGUAAAGGGAGCGUAGGCGUUCUAUUAAGUCUCGAGUGAAAUCCCGCAGCCUAACUGCGGAACUGCUCGGGAAACUGAUAGAAUAGAGUAUGGAAGAGGUAGGUGGAAUUUCCAGUGUAGGGGUAAAAUCCGUAGAUAUUGGAAGGAAUACCAGAAGCGAAGGCGACCUACUGGGACAUUACUGACGCUGAGGCUCGAAAGCGUGGGGAGCAAACA
This 403-nucleotide ribosomal RNA is filed under the name uncultured bacterium. RNAcentral describes it as "bacterial SSU rRNA". It matches the Rfam family "Bacterial small subunit ribosomal RNA", at positions 355 to 774 of the family's 1533-position model. The record is from RNAcentral. RNAcentral also lists the same sequence under 1 other name.